CCUACGGGUGGCAGCAGUGGGGAAUAUUGCACAAUGGGCGCAAGCCUGAUGCAGCCAUGCCGCGUGUGUGAAGAAGGCCUUCGGGUUGUAAAGCACUUUCAGCGGGGAGGAAGGCGUUAAGGUUAAUAACCUUGUCGAUUGACGUUACCCGCAGAAGAAGCACCGGCUAACUCCGUGCCAGCAGCCGCGGUAAUACGGAGGGUGCAAGCGUUAAUCGGAAUUACUGGGCGUAAAGCGCACGCAGGCGGUCUGUCAAGUCGGAUGUGAAAUCCCCGGGCUCAACCUGGGAACUGCAUUCGAAACUGGCAGGCUAGAGUCUUGUAGAGGGGGGUAGAAUUCCAGGUGUAGCGGUGAAAUGCGUAGAGAUCUGGAGGAAUACCGGUGGCGAAGGUGGCCCCCUGGACAAAGACUGACGCUCAGGUGCGAAAGCGUGGGGAGCAAACAGGAUUAGAUACCCGAGUAGUC
RNAcentral lists this ribosomal RNA (465 nucleotides) under uncultured Klebsiella sp. RNAcentral describes it as "bacterial SSU rRNA". It matches the Rfam family "Bacterial small subunit ribosomal RNA", at positions 338 to 795 of the family's 1533-position model. The record is from RNAcentral. Lineage: Bacteria; Pseudomonadati; Pseudomonadota; Gammaproteobacteria; Enterobacterales; Enterobacteriaceae.